This is a long non-coding RNA of Amphimedon queenslandica, 410 nucleotides long. RefSeq lists it as uncharacterized. NCBI's taxonomy places the organism in Eukaryota, Metazoa, Porifera, Demospongiae, Haplosclerida, Niphatidae. The record is from RefSeq and is a predicted model, not a curated record. The transcript is spliced from 5 exons.
AGUUUUUGAAGACAUCAUUCAAAAAGCAACAGUUUCUACAAGUUCAGCCUUCCAACUGCCAGAAAACAAGUCCUCUGACAUGACUCAUCAGCAAUAUUCAACAGCUUCGCAAGAUCUUGAAGAUACUCUAAUUGUUGCCCUGACCUUGUUAGAUGUUAGCUCAUGUCAGUCACUGGGUGAUAGUUUAAGUGAGAUAAUGUUCAAAGAGACAUCAGUGAUGAAGAUACAUGAUGAAGUACUGGGCCCUUUAGAAGUCUUUCAGAGCUCAGAUUUAUGUAAUUUAAUUUGUACUUUUCAGUUAAAAUAAAGGAUUUAAGAUACUCCAAACACAACUAGCAUUACAACUUUAUAACAGUAAACUACUAUGCUACAUUAUUAAGAUACUCCUAACACAGGAAGCAAUACAACUG